AGAAAGCAGCAUACUCUUCCUUUGUGAUCUCUUCUGGCUUUCUCAUCCAAAUAGGCUUCUGCUUGUUCACCAGUGACCACUCAUUGGAAACUUCUUUGACCUUCUUCUUUUUCUUCUCUUCCUUCUCCUUUUCUUCAUCAACCUCCUCUACCUUUCCUUCCUCAUCUUUCUUCUCCUCUUCGUCCUCAUCAUCCGAGAUUUCCUUUUCUAUGGUCUUCUCAACCCACAAAGAGAUUGGAUAGCUGAUGAACUCAGAAUGCUUCUUAAUAAGGUCCUUGAGCCUUCGCUCCUCAAGGUAUUCAAGCUGGUCCUCCUUGAGGAAGAGGGUCAUUUUGGUACCCCUGCCAAGGUUCUCACCAGAUGUAUCUCUCGUAACAGUGAAUGAACCACCAGCUUGUGAUUCCCAAACAUAUUGUUCAUCAUCAUUGUGCUUUGUGGUCACAACCACCCUCUCAGCAACCAAAUAAGCAGAAUAGAAACCAACACCAAAUUGCCCGAUCAUGCUAACAUCAGCACCAGCAGCAAUGGCCUCCAUAAAUUCCUUGGUGCCAGACCUAGCAAUUGUACCAAGGUUGUUCACCAGAUCAGCCUUUGUCAUACCAACACCACUGUCAAUGAUUGUGAGGGUAUUGUUGGUCUUGUCAGGGACGAUGUGAAUGAAAAGUUCAGGUUGAGCAUCUAGCUUGCUCUUGUCAGUCAAACUCUGGAAACGGAUCUUGUCCAGUGCAUCAGAAGAGUUACUAAUGAGUUCCCUGAGAAAGAUCUCUUUGUUACUAUAAAAAGUAUUGAUGAUGAGACUCAGAAGCUGGUUGAUCUCAGCUUGAAAUGCAAACGUCUCUGCCUCCGCCAUUUUUGUGUGAUCUACAAAGAGUGAAAUGAAAGAGAAAGAGAAGAGAUGGAGAUGGAGAUGGUCUUUUUGUUCAAGUCCAGAAGUGAAAGUUGUUGAACCAUGUAUGUAAUAGCUUGUGUUGUUGACCUAGU
Molecule: unclassified non-coding RNA, 981 nt
Filed under: Hevea brasiliensis (rubber tree)
Lineage: Eukaryota; Viridiplantae; Streptophyta; Magnoliopsida; Malpighiales; Euphorbiaceae
Source: RNAcentral